UCAGAUGUUUCUAAUGGCUAUGUUUGAAAGACAGGCACUAACUGAAUCCACCUGCAGUGUCCUAACAUUGGUAGCAUGUCUCUCAAGGGCAACAAUCACCUGACUGAAGGCUGCACCUUGGAAAACUGGAUACUUCAUCCUGGCACCAACUUUUGCAACUAAGAACAAUUUGUUGGAAACACACAAGAGAAAACUCUGCAAGGAGAUUGUAGACUUAGAAGUAAAUUAUUGUCAAGGUACAAGUUAAAAUCCUUUUGAAUAAGGCUUCAAAGCUGAACAUUUGUCAAGCCAGGAAUAUCAUCUGGCACCCAUGCCUGGACACAUCACUUACAUGAAUCCAUGCUCCUGCCUUGAAGUGAGGGUUAAACUGAAUUAAACUAAAGGAAGUCUCUGCUAAUGAAUUUUGUUUGGUCAAGGUACCCAGGAACACCACAACUCUGGGAUUCUGAAUAUAUCACUAUAGAUAUACUCCUCACCUUCUUACCAUCAGAGCCCAGUCAAAUAAUUAUCCCUGCAAAAAACCUCUAAGUCUGCCCCUGGAGUUGUGAUAUAGUAUAGUACAGUUUGGAAAACUCAAACACAAUGCUGGCUUGUCCCAAAGUAAGGUUGCCAACCCUCCAGGAUUGCUCUGGAAUCUCCAGAAAUUAAAGAUUAAUUAAAAUUAUGUCAUGUGAUAAAACAUCCAGGAAUACAUCCAGCCAAAAUUGGCAACUCUAGCCCAAAGAGUAAAGACAAGACAACGGUAAAUUAACAUCACAAGAAUGUUCAGGAUAAGAACCAACCACUCACCCUAAGCCCAGCGCACAGGAGCAGGGAGGUUGGCAGGGCAACCUUGCUGAAGCAGAAGAAGAGGCAUUUGAAUGGCCCUUAGCUCCUUUCCCAACCUAAAUGAAGAGGGGUGAAGCUCCCUCCUUUCCUCCUAGCCAAUAAGGCAGCACCUUAGAGCCCGAGGCUCAAACUUUGGAAUGGCCUGAAACAAAGCAGGGCUAUGAUUGGUUGUGAGGAACAAGCAACCCCUAGAAUCCACGUAGGGAAAUCUCCAACAAAUCCAGUCCAGUUGGCCAAUGCCUAAACAACCUGCAAAUGGAAUAGAGGGGCUAAUGGGGAUAUGAGAUGAACUGUCUAAGUACAAACCUGCCUCAUAUAAAUAUUGUGCAUAUAUAAAUCUAUAUGGUCGCAACAUAUAUAUUAAUAUGUGAUAGAGCAUAUGUAUGCAUUAGGAUCUGGCUUGUGACCCACUUGGGGAAACUUAUUUACAUUGCCUCACUACAAGGGCAAAAUUAUACAGCAAUGAAGCAUGAAUUUGUAACAAAUGACACUUGCCAAGUUUUUUA
Molecule: long non-coding RNA, 1334 nt
Organism: Pelodiscus sinensis (Chinese soft-shelled turtle)
Lineage: Eukaryota; Metazoa; Chordata; Testudines; Trionychidae
Source: RefSeq, a predicted model, not a curated record